This 281-nucleotide unclassified non-coding RNA is filed under the name plant metagenome. RNAcentral describes it as "partial contains small subunit ribosomal RNA and internal transcribed spacer 1". The stretch from base 1 to 47 matches the Rfam family "Eukaryotic small subunit ribosomal RNA", at positions 1785 to 1831 of the family's 1831-position model. The record is from RNAcentral.
AAAGUCGUAACAAGGUUUCCGUAGGUGAACCUGCGGAAGGAUCAUUACAAAUAAAGCUGGUAGGAAGGUGGGGUCUUGAUCUGUAAGUGGUAGAGCGAACAGUCCGGCUUGCCUCCCGAAAUGUCUUUACAGUGUCCCCCACCAGCCAUGCAUAGGCCAGGUCAAUUGAAUCAACCCACCUUGAUUUAUCUACAACUUGUUGCUUUUGGGGUGCUCAAGUGCCCCAGAGGACCCAACUCUCUUGCAUUUAGUGACGUCUGAGUACUAUAUAAUAUUUAAAA